RNAcentral lists this long non-coding RNA (258 nucleotides) under Lupinus angustifolius (narrow-leaved blue lupine). Its description in RNAcentral is "long non-coding RNA (LANG_LNC002649)". Lineage: Eukaryota; Viridiplantae; Streptophyta; Magnoliopsida; Fabales; Fabaceae. The record is from RNAcentral.
UAAAAAUGCACGUGACUUUGCACCUAAAGAAUUACCUGAAUUUGCACCUGAAGAAGUACCUGAUUUUGGAGCUGAAGAUGUACCUGAUUUUGGAGCUGAAGAUGUACCUGAAGCACCUGAAAAUAUAUAUGAAGAAGUUUUUGAAGAAUGAAGCACUAACAAGAAAAGAACCUCGAAGAAGAGAAAAUCAAACAAAAAGAAAAAGUCAACCCCAAGGAAAAAGGAUAGAACCCAAAAUAAAAUGGACAUGACAUCAAG